GUUGUAUGGUUAAGUGACUAAGCGUACACGGUGGAUGCCUUGGCAGUCAGAGGCGAUGAAAGACGUAGUAACUUGCGAUAAGCCCAGAUUAGGUAGUAACAACCAUUUGAGUCUGGGAUUUCUGAAUGGGGAAACCCACUUACAUAAGUAAGUAUCAUUAACUGAAUACAUAGGUUAAUGAGGCGAACCGGGGGAACUGAAACAUCUAAGUACCCCGAGGAAAAGAAAUCAACCGAGAUUCCGAAAGUAGCGGCGAGCGAAAUUGGACUAGCCCUUAAGCUUUACACGCGUUAGACGAACGGUCUGGAAAGUCCGACGAUACAGGGUGAUAGUCCCGUAGUUGACGACGUGUGUUCAGUGAAAUCGAGUAGGGCGGGACACGUGAUAUCCUGUCUGAAUAUGGGGGGACCAUCCUCCAAGGCUAAAUACUACUGACUGACCGAUAGUGAACCAGUACCGUGAGGGAAAGGCGAAAAGAACCCCUGUGAGGGGAGUGAAAUAGAACCUGAAACCGUGUACGUACAAGCAGUAGGAGCAGGCUUUGUCCUGUGACUGCGUACCUUUUGUAUAAUGGGUCAGCGACUUAUAUUCAGUGGCAAGGUUAACCAUCUAGGGGAGCCGUAGGGAAACCGAGUCUUAACUGGGCGUUCAGUCUCUGGAUAUAGACCCGAAACCAGGUGAUCUAGCCAUGGGCAGGUUGAAGGUUGAGUAACAUCAACUGGAGGACCGAACCGACUAAUGUUGAAAAAUUAGCGGAUGACUUGUGGCUAGGGGUGAAAGGCCAAUCAAACCUGGAGAUAGCUGGUUCUCCCCGAAAGCUAUUUAGGUAGCGCCUCGGACGAAUACUACUGGGGGUAGAGCACUGUUAAGGCUAGGGGGUCAUCCCGACUUACCAACCCUUUGCAAACUCCGAAUACCAGUAAGUACUAUCCGGGAGACACACGGCGGGUGCUAACGUCCGUCGUGGAGAGGGAAACAACCCAGACCGCCAGCUAAGGUCCCAAAUUACUACUAAGUGGGAAACGAUGUGGGAAGGCUCAGACAGCCAGGAUGUUGGCUUAGAAGCAGCCAUCAUUUAAAGAAAGCGUAAUAGCUCACUGGUCGAGUCGGCCUGCGCGGAAGAUGUAACGGGGCUAAGUAGUAAACCGAAGCUGCGGCAAUAUACUUUUGUAUAUUGGGUAGGGGAGCGUUCUGUAAGCGGUUGAAGGUGUGUGGUAACGCAUGCUGGACGUAUCAGAAGUGCGAAUGCUGACAUGAGUAACGAUAAAGGGGGUGAAAAACCUCCUCGCCGGAAGACCAAGGGUUCCUGUCCAACGUUAAUCGGGGCAGGGUAAGUCGACCCCUAAGGCGAGGCCGAAAGGCGUAGUCGAUGGGAAACGGGUUAAUAUUCCCGUACUUCUUACAAUUGCGAUGGGGGGACGGAGAAGGCUAGGUGGGCCUGGCGACGGUUGUCCAGGUUCAAGUGCGUAGGCUUAAGAGUUAGGUAAAUCCGGCUCUUUUUAAGGCUGAGACACGACGUCGAGCACCUACGGGUGUGAAGUCAUUGAUGCCAUGCUUCCAGGAAAAGCCUCUAAGCUUCAGAUUGUAAGGAAUCGUACCCCAAACCGACACAGGUGGUCGGGUAGAGAAUACCAAGGCGCUUGAGAGAACUCGGGUGAAGGAACUAGGCAAAAUGGUACCGUAACUUCGGGAGAAGGUACGCUCUUGAUGGUGAAGUCCCUUGCGGAUGGAGCUGACGAGAGUCGCAGAUACCAGGUGGCUGCAACUGUUUAUUAAAAACACAGCACUGUGCAAAAUCGUAAGAUGACGUAUACGGUGUGACGCCUGCCCGGUGCCGGAAGGUUAAUUGAUGGGGUUAGACUUCGGUCGAAGCUCUUGAUCGAAGCCCCGGUAAACGGCGGCCGUAACUAUAACGGUCCUAAGGUAGCGAAAUUCCUUGUCGGGUAAGUUCCGACCUGCACGAAUGGCGUAAUGAUGGCCACGCUGUCUCCACCCGAGACUCAGUGAAAUUGAAAUCGCUGUGAAGAUGCAGUGUACCCGCGGCUAGACGGAAAGACCCCGUGAACCUUUACUACAGCUUGGCACUGAACAUUGACCCUACAUGUGUAGGAUAGGUGGGAGGCUUUGAAGCACGUACGCCAGUAUGUGUGGAGCCGUCCUUGAAAUACCACCCUUGUAGUGUUGAUGUUCUAACGUCGACCCCUAAUCGGGGUUGCGGACAGUGCCUGGUGGGUAGUUUGACUGGGGCGGUCUCCUCCCAAAGAGUAACGGAGGAGCACGAAGGUGGGCUAAUCACGGUUGGACAUCGUGAGGUUAGUGCAAUGGCAUAAGCCCGCUUGACUGCGAGAAUGACAAUUCGAGCAGGUGCGAAAGCAGGUCAUAGUGAUCCGGUGGUUCUGAAUGGAAGGGCCAUCGCUCAACGGAUAAAAGGUACUCCGGGGAUAACAGGCUGAUACCGCCCAAGAGUUCAUAUCGACGGCGGUGUUUGGCACCUCGAUGUCGGCUCAUCACAUCCUGGGGCUGAAGUCGGUCCCAAGGGUAUGGCUGUUCGCCAUUUAAAGUGGUACGCGAGCUGGGUUUAGAACGUCGUGAGACAGUUCGGUCCCUAUCUGCCGUGGGCGUUGGAAGAUUGAAGGGGGCUGCUCCUAGUACGAGAGGACCGGAGUGGACGAACCUCUGGUGUUCGGGUUGUGUCGCCAGACGCAUUGCCCGGUAGCUAAGUUCGGAAUCGAUAACCGCUGAAAGCAUCUAAGCGGGAAGCGAGCCCUGAGAUGAGUCUUCCCUGAUACUUUAAGUAUCCUAAAGGGUUGUCGGAGACUACGACGUUGAUAGGUCAGGUGUGUAAGUGCUGUGAGGCAUUGAGCUAACUGAUACUAAUUGCCCGUGAGGCUUAACCAUACAACACCCAAGGGGUUU
RNAcentral lists this ribosomal RNA (2916 nucleotides) under Vibrio parahaemolyticus. RNAcentral's name for it is "bacterial LSU rRNA". It matches the Rfam family "Bacterial large subunit ribosomal RNA". Lineage: Bacteria; Pseudomonadati; Pseudomonadota; Gammaproteobacteria; Vibrionales; Vibrionaceae. The record is from RNAcentral.